Molecule: ribosomal RNA, 253 nt
Filed under: uncultured bacterium
Lineage: Bacteria
Description: partial 16S ribosomal RNA
Rfam family: Bacterial small subunit ribosomal RNA
Source: RNAcentral
UACGUAGGGGGCGAGCGUUGUCCGGAUUUAUUGGGCGUAAAGAGCGUGUAGGCGGCCAGGUAGGUCUGCUGUGAAAACUCGAGGCUCAACCUCGAGACGUCGGCGGAAACCAUCUGGCUAGAGUCCGGAAGAGGAGAGUGGAAUUCCUGGUGUAGCGGUGAAAUGCGCAGAUAUCAGGAAGAACACCCGUGGCGAAGGCGGCUCUCUGGUACGUGACUGACGCUGAGACGCGAAAGCGUGGGGAGCAAACAGG